UUUGUAUACCAUAAAAAAAAUUUAAUACCAUUUCAAAGAUGAAGAUCCAAGAGUAGUAGUAUAUAUAGGAACAAAUCGAUCUAAAGAGUAUUUAUACAUAAAUAAAUAAAUAUACACCACAAGAGCUCUACAAGAACUUUUCAAUGGAGGUAGAGAGUGUAGAUUUAGGAACUGCACCAAUAACUGCAUCUUUCUUCUCACCACCUUUGAAUAUAAUAACAGUGGGGAUGCUUCUGAUCCCAUAUUGGCUUGCAAUUGUGGGGCUUUCAUCAGUAUUCACCUUGUAACAAGCGAGUUUCCCUGUGUACUCCUUUGCAAGUUCAUCGAUGAUCGGGUGGAUCAUGCGACAAGGCCCGCACCAUGGGGCCCAGAACUCAACCAGUACAGGGACAUCAGACUCCAGGACAUUUUUUUCUUCCUGAGCCUGGCAAACAAUACGUGCGCUUAAUUUACGUCCCAACUUAGGCGAUCCAAACGACUGGAUUCUCAAACCUCUUGAUGCCUGCAAAUUUACAAAGUUCCGUGAUGUCGCUGGGACGGCAGAGGCCCGGGGAAGUGUAAGAGUUUCAAGAACACGAGCCAUCUAACUAUACAAAGAGAAGAAAUGGAGUUUCUGUUGUGUGGAUGAACCAGAAUAGAUAAUUGG
RNAcentral lists this long non-coding RNA (646 nucleotides) under Helianthus annuus (common sunflower). RNAcentral's name for it is "sRNA HanXRQr2_Chr13g0592891". Lineage: Eukaryota; Viridiplantae; Streptophyta; Magnoliopsida; Asterales; Asteraceae. The record is from RNAcentral.